GUGAAUCAUCGAAUUUUUGAACGCAAAUUGCACUCUCCUCGGAGAGUAUGCCUGUUUGAGUGUCAGCCUAUAAAAAAUCGACAUCGUUGCUGUUUCGCGGUGGCGUUCGUCGGAAAUUGGGCUAUCUUAUUUCCUUUUGGGUUUUAAGUGACUUAAUAUUUUCUUUUUGGUUUCAUGAACGCUUCUAAGUUUUAUUUCUUUACAGGUUUAAGGUAUCGAUUUUUAUUAGUGGUGAACAUCAUUUCGGAUCGCGUUCAU
Molecule: unclassified non-coding RNA, 258 nt
Filed under: Glomeraceae sp.
Lineage: Eukaryota; Fungi; Glomeromycota; Glomeromycetes; Glomerales; Glomeraceae
Description: partial contains 5.8S ribosomal RNA and internal transcribed spacer 2
Rfam family: 5.8S ribosomal RNA (bases 1-65)
Source: RNAcentral